AAUCUUGCGCAAUGGACGAAAGUCUGACGCAGCGACGCCGCGUGAAGGAUGAAGGCCUCAGGGUCGUAAACUUCUGUCAUUGGGGACGAUAAUGACGGUACCCAAGGAGGAAGCUCCGGCUAACUACUUUCCAGCCGCCGCGGUAAUACGUAGGGAGCGAGCGUUGUCCGGAAUUAUUGGGCGUAAAGGGGGCGUAGGCGGCUUUGCAAGUCUUGUGUGAAAGACCUCGGCUUAACCGAGGUAGGCCACAGGAAACUGCGGAGCUUGAGUGUCGGAGAGGGUAGCGGAAUUCCAGGUGUAGCGGUGAUAUGCGUAGAUAUCUGGAGGAACAUCCGUGGCGAAGGCGGCUACCUGGACGAUUACUGACGCUGAGGCACGACAGCUGGGGGAGCAAACA
This 397-nucleotide ribosomal RNA is filed under the name uncultured bacterium. RNAcentral's name for it is "partial 16S ribosomal RNA". It matches the Rfam family "Bacterial small subunit ribosomal RNA", at positions 360 to 774 of the family's 1533-position model. The record is from RNAcentral.